Molecule: ribosomal RNA, 609 nt
Filed under: Delftia tsuruhatensis
Lineage: Bacteria; Pseudomonadati; Pseudomonadota; Betaproteobacteria; Burkholderiales; Comamonadaceae
Description: bacterial SSU rRNA
Rfam family: Bacterial small subunit ribosomal RNA
Source: RNAcentral
CCUUACACAUGCAAGUCGAACGGUAACAGGUCUUCGGACGCUGACGAGUGGCGAAGGGGUGAGUAAUACAUCGGAACGUGCCCAGUCGUGGGGGAUAACUACUCAAAAGAGUAGCUAAUACCGCAUACGAUCUGAGGAUGAAAGCGGGGGACCUUCGGGCCUCGCGCGAUUGGAGCGGCCGAUGGCAGAUUAGGUAGUUGGUGGGAUAAAAGCUUACCAAGCCGACGAUCUGUAGCUGGUCUGAGAGGACGACCAGCCACACUGGGACUGAGACACGGCCCACACUCCUACGGGAGGCAGCAGUGGGGAAUUUUGGACAAUGGGCGAAAGCCUGAUCCAGCAAUGCCGCGUGCAGGAUGAAGGCCUUCGGGUUGUAAACUGCUUUUGUACGGAACAAAAAAGCUCCUUCUAAUACGGGGGGCCCAUGACGGUACCGUAAGAAUAAUCACCGGCUAACUACGUGCCACAACCUCGUUAAUACGUAGGGUGCGAGCGUUAAUCGGAAUUACUGGGCGUAAAGCGUGCGCAGGGGGUUAUGAAAAACAGAUAUGAAAUCCCCGGGCUCAACCUGGGAACGGCCUUUGUGACUGCUUGGCUAGAGUACGGAAU